This 474-nucleotide ribosomal RNA is filed under the name Kluyveromyces marxianus. Its description in RNAcentral is "LSU rRNA". It matches the Rfam family "Eukaryotic large subunit ribosomal RNA", at positions 61 to 542 of the family's 3401-position model. Lineage: Eukaryota; Fungi; Ascomycota; Saccharomycetes; Saccharomycetales; Saccharomycetaceae. The record is from RNAcentral.
GAAACCAACCGGGAUUGCCUUAGUAACGGCGAGUGAAGCGGCAAAAGCUCAAAUUUGAAAUCUGGCGUCUUCGACGUCCGAGUUGUAAUUUGAAGAAGGCGACUUUGUAGCUGGUCCUGUCUAUGUUCCUUGGAACAGGACGUCAUAGAGGGUGAGAAUCCCGUGUGGCGAGGAUCCCAGUUAUUUGUAAAGUGCUUUCGACGAGUCGAGUUGUUUGGGAAUGCAGCUCUAAGUGGGUGGUAAAUUCCAUCUAAAGCUAAAUAUUGGCGAGAGACCGAUAGCGAACAAGUACAGUGAUGGAAAGAUGAAAAGAACUUUGAAAAGAGAGUGAAAAAGUACGUGAAAUUGUUGAAAGGGAAGGGCAUUUGAUCAGACAUGGCGUUUGCUUCGGCUUUCGCUGGGCCAGCAUCAGUUUUAGCGGUUGGAUAAAUCCUCGGGAAUGUGGCUCUGCUUCGGUAGAGUGUUAUAGCCCGU